Molecule: long non-coding RNA, 1975 nt
Filed under: Nicotiana benthamiana
Lineage: Eukaryota; Viridiplantae; Streptophyta; Magnoliopsida; Solanales; Solanaceae
Description: long non-coding RNA (NBEN_LNC017994)
Source: RNAcentral
AGAAGGCGUGCUUGAUUUAUAAAAUUUGCUUAGGUCUUCCCAACAUCUCCUCGAUGACACACAUUGUCGUCCAUGCUUGUUGUAAUUCCCAGAAGUGUGUAACACUGUACAAAGGUGCUCGCAAGUGCAGUUGCAUUAGAAUAAUAACUCCAAGGCAGACACUGCUGCUAGAAGACCGUGCAGGCGUGGAUAUUGAAUAAUGUUUCCAUUGCAUCAUUAAACAGUUCCUAAAUAGCAUGAGCCAUUGAAAUUCGCUGAACAAUGCAGAGGUGCAAUAUUUCUUUAUCGGACAUGAGAUAAUGGGGAAAAACAAAGAAUUCCCAAUAUUCCUUGGUCUUGACACCCACACUUGUAUAACUUUUGUUUCUCUCCAGUGCUGUCCUCGUUUCCAUUCCCCUUCCGCUGGCAGUGUAGCUUCUUGACUACACAUGAGAUCCUCAUUAAUACAUCGAAAAAACUUGUAGCCGAGAAACAUUGUCAUUUUCGAUUCCUUUUCUCCAUUGUGAAACCUACAUUCUAGUGAUAUGCAUGAAAGAUGCGAAGUAAAUUCUGUACAGAAUUUUUGAUUGCAGAUUUCUUCUUCUCAGUUGAGUAAUCUUGAUGAUGUAACCAUGUUAUCUUGGUUGUUGACGCUUCCAUGUUUUGUAACACCAUCCCUCUGCAAAAAAGAAGCAAAUGUUAAUGGAAAAAAUUAUCUCCAUAUUCUCGUUUGGUCGAUCAUGGUGACUGCAUGUUGUAUUAAUGUUGAUUGCAUUUGUUUCUUCCCUUUCCUUCUCUAAUUUCUUGCAACUCUUAUUCUCAGGGUUGGACAUUGUAGCUUAUCCUCAUUUACCAACCUUCUGCUUGAAGCAUCAAGUUCCUAGAAACCACAACUCUCUAUGUUACAACUGUCAAGUGCAUAAUUUGCAAGGUGGUCUGCUAGCUUGUUUCCCUCUCCUAAAAUGUGAGAUAUCUUGAAAUUACACCCUAGUUUGAGUCUGUUGAUUCCCUCCGUAGCAUCCACAAUAUUGCAGGGUGGUUUCCAUUGUCCAUCUAUAAUAUUUUGAAGCAUCAUUGAAUCUGUCUGAAGCAAAACAUUAUGGAGGUUCAUUGUUAUGCACAUUCUCAUUGCCUCUACUAUUGCUGUCACCUUAGCUUCAUUGUUAGAACCCUCCUUAAUUUCUAUUCCUUCUGCAUAUAUCAAAUCACCUAUCUCAUCUCUUAGACAAAAACCAAUUAACUCCUCCCUAGGUUCCCUCUGCAUGCUCCAUCAGUAUUCACUUUGAUCCAGCCCGUUGGAGGAAAUUCCCAUAGCACUUUAUCAUAUUUCAAUCGAGGUGUGUAUUGCUCCAUCAUUGUCAGCCAGUCCAGCCACUUGUGAGGCACAUGUAGUCCUGGUUUUUUCAGUUGGACCAGAGCUUGUAGAGUAGAUGACACAUGAAAAAUGACUCUUCUUACUGACACUGCUUCUCCAUAUUUCAAACUGUUUCUUCUCUUCCAUAACUCCCAUGCAAUGCAUGCAGGUAAAGCUCACAAGACAGGCUUCAAUCUAUUAACAACUGAUGACGUCCAACAUUUUGUAAUUGCUUGUUGUAAAGACGACCCUUGAAUUACAAUUCCUGCUCUCGUCAGGAUGUAACUCCAAACAGCCGUAGCUCCAUUGAAUGAGAAGAACAAAUGUACUAAAGACUCCUCCUUAGGAUCUGCACAGCACCAACAUUUCGAUGCCAUAGAGUAUCCUAUUCUACGUAAGAAACCAUCAAGUGGCAAUUUGGCUUUCCACACCUUCCACAGGAAGAAGGAUAUCUUGAAUGGUAAGUCAUUAACCCAUAUCAUCUUGUAAGCUAUCCUUGGAAUGCCUCUUCUUUGCAGGUAAUCCCAUGCAGAUUUCGCUGAAAAAUGCCCCCUUGUUUCAGCCAUCUAGAAUGGUGUAUCUAACUCUGCACCUUCAACUGGUGGUCUAAUAUUCUGCAAAUGUGGUUUGCCAAAUCUUCAG